Long non-coding RNA from Nasonia vitripennis (jewel wasp), 281 nucleotides. RefSeq lists it as uncharacterized. The transcript is spliced from 2 exons. The record is from RefSeq and is a predicted model, not a curated record. NCBI's taxonomy places the organism in Eukaryota, Metazoa, Arthropoda, Insecta, Hymenoptera, Pteromalidae.
AACUCUCGGUCGUGACGUCAUCAACAUGGACGCCCAGGCCAUGAAAAAUACAUUAGUAGUAUACAAAGCAAAGUAGUUUUUACUAAUUUUUGACAGAAAAAUAACGUGACAGCUCUUAAAUUUUAUAUAUGUGAUAACGCAUAUAAUUUACUAUAAGAUGAUGGUACUUUUCCCUCCCUGAAAUUGUUAAUAUGUUUUAUUUAGGAUGAUCAAAGCAUUGUAUAGGUUAUAGAGCAACAUGGAAUGUAAUAACCAAAAAGAGGCAGGCAUGCAAUUUUCAC